AUGAAAAAGAGGGAGGAGUUUCAAGAGGUCCAUUUGAGGAGGAAGAAUUUUCCAAGUGUGAGGGACAGUCUGGGCAGAAACAUAGAGGCAGAAGAUAAGGGUUUUACAAAAGAGAAAGACUUUCAUACAUGUCUCCUACCUCCUAAUCGUCAUCCUCAGUUGCCGAGAGACUACUACUACUACUACUACUACUACUACCUCCUAACAAAAAAAUUAAUCAAUGAACUCAAGAUGGAGAGAGGCAUAUAUUUUUGGAUAUAUCAAAGAAAUGGAGUACUUGGGUACAAGAAUAAUGUCGUGCUCUGUGUUGAUUGGUUUUGCUCAAAUGCUGUUCAUUGUUACAUGAAAUGGGUCGAGUCCUGGAAAGGGACAUAUAUUUGGAAGUAACAAUCAUAAUAAAACAUAAAAUUAUCAAUAAAAUUUGACUUUU
This 430-nucleotide long non-coding RNA is filed under the name Monodelphis domestica (gray short-tailed opossum). RNAcentral's name for it is "lncRNA (ENSMODG00000032305.2)". The record is from RNAcentral. Lineage: Eukaryota; Metazoa; Chordata; Mammalia; Didelphimorphia; Didelphidae.